RNAcentral lists this ribosomal RNA (496 nucleotides) under uncultured bacterium. Its description in RNAcentral is "partial 16S ribosomal RNA". It matches the Rfam family "Bacterial small subunit ribosomal RNA", at positions 28 to 507 of the family's 1533-position model. The record is from RNAcentral.
GAUGAACGCUGGCGGCGUGCCUAAUACAUGCAAGUCGAGCGAACAGACGAGGAGCUUGCUCCUUUGACGUUAGCGGCGGACGGGUGAGUAACACGUAGGUAACCUACCUAUAAGACUGGGAUAACUUCGGGAAACCGGAGCUAAUACCGGAUAAUAUUUCGAACCGCAUGGUUCGAUAGUGAAAGAUGGCUUUGCUAUCACUUAUAGAUGGACCUGCGCCGUAUUAGCUAGUUGGUAAGGUAACGGCUUACCAAGGCAACGAUACGUAGCCGACCUGAGAGGUGGAUCGGCAAAACUGGACCUGAGCACCGGUCCAGACUCCUACGGGAGGCAGCAGUAGGGAAUCUUCCGCAAUGGGCGAAAGCCUGACGGAGAAACGCCGCGUGAGUGAUGAAGGUCUUCGGAUCGUAAAACUCUGUUAUUAGGGAAGAACAAACGUGUAAGUAACUGUGCACGUCUUGACGGUACCUAUCAGAAAGCCACGGCUAACUACGUG